GAUGAACGCUGGCGGCGUGCUUAACACAUGCAAGUCGAACGAAGCACCUCUCCCGAAGAUUGACACAGCUUGCUGUAGAUUGAUUCAUUUGAGGUGACUGAGUGGCGGACGGGUGAGUAACGCGUGGGUAACCUGCCUCAUAGAGGGGGACAACAGUUGGAAACGGCUGCUAAUACCGCAUAGUAAGAAGAAUUCGCAUGUUUUCUUCUUGAAAGAUUUAUCGCUAUGAGAUGGACCCGCGUCUGAUUAGCUAGUUGGUAAGGUAACGGCUUACCAAGGCGACGAUCAGUAGCCGGCUUGAGAGAGUGAGCGGCCACAUUGGGACUGAGACACGGCCCAAACUCCUACGGGAGGCAGCAGUGGGGAAUAUUGCACAAUGGGGGAAACCCUGAUGCAGCGACGCCGCGUGAGUGAAGAAGUAUUUCGGUAUGUAAAGCUCUAUCAGCAGGGAAGAUAAUGACGGUACCUGACGAAGAAGCCCCGGCUAACUACGUG
This 495-nucleotide ribosomal RNA is filed under the name uncultured bacterium. Its description in RNAcentral is "partial 16S ribosomal RNA". It matches the Rfam family "Bacterial small subunit ribosomal RNA", at positions 28 to 507 of the family's 1533-position model. The record is from RNAcentral.